GAUGAACGCUGGCGGCGUGCCUAAUACAUGCAAGUCGAGCGAACGGGCGCGAAUCUUGCUUCUCUGAUGUUAGCGGCGGACGGGUGAGUCACACGUGGAUAACCUACCUCUUAGACUGGGGUAACUUCGGGAAACCGGAGCUAAUACCGGAUAAUAUUUUUAACCUCAUGGUUCAAAAGUGAAAGACGGUCUUGCUGUCACUUAUAGAUGGAUCCGCGCUGCAUUAGCUAGUUGGUAAGGUAACGGCUUACCAAGGCAACGAUGCAUAGCCGACCUGAGAGCGGGAAGGGGCACACUGGAGGUGAGACACGGCCCAGACACUGAGAGGAGGCAGCAGUAGGGAAUCUUCCGCAAGGGGGGAAAGCCUGACGGAGCAACGCCGGGUGAGUGAUGAAGGUCUUCGGAUCGGAAAACGCUGUUAGUAGUGAAGAACAUAUGUGUAAGUAACGGUGCACAUCGUGACGGUACCUAGACAAAAAGCCACGGCUAACUACGUG
Molecule: ribosomal RNA, 497 nt
Filed under: uncultured bacterium
Lineage: Bacteria
Description: partial 16S ribosomal RNA
Rfam family: Bacterial small subunit ribosomal RNA
Source: RNAcentral